This 468-nucleotide ribosomal RNA is filed under the name uncultured bacterium. RNAcentral's name for it is "partial 16S ribosomal RNA". It matches the Rfam family "Bacterial small subunit ribosomal RNA", at positions 28 to 507 of the family's 1533-position model. The record is from RNAcentral.
GACGAACGCUGGCGGCGUGCUUAACACAUGCAAGUCGAACGGACAGGCCCUGCUUUUGUGGGGUGCUCGAGUGGCGAACGGGUGAGUAACACGUGAGUAACCUGCCCUUGACUUUGGGAUAACUUCAGGAAACUGGGGCUAAUACCGGAUAGGAGCUCCUGAUGCAUGGUGGGGGUUGGAAAGUUUCGGCGGUUGGGGAUGGACUCGCGGCUUAUCAGCUUGUUGGUGGGGUAGUGGCUUACCAAGGCUUUGACGGGUAGCCGGCCUGAGAGGGUGACCGGCCACAUUGGGACUGAGAUACGGCCCAGACUCCUACGGGAGGCAGCAGUGGGGAAUAUUGCACAAUGGGCGGAAGCCUGAUGCAGCAACGCCGCGUGCGGGAUGACGGCCUUCGGGUUGUAAACCGCUUUCGCCUGUGACGAAGCGUGAGUGACGGUAAUGGGUAAAGAAGCACCGGCUAACUACGUG